UGGAUCUGAGAGGGGUAGGGUGGCUCUAGCCCCCACCCAAAAAGUUGGAUUGGAGCCAAAGGAGGAAGAUGUGGAGAAGAGGAAAAAGUUAGGAAAAAAAGAAAAAGGUGGAGAUGGAUGAGGAAGAAGAAGCAAGCCCCUAAGAUUUAAUCAUGCCUCAGCCAUUGCUUUGUUUCCAUGAUGAAAUGGACAAGUUUAAAUUACUAAAAUUCGCACUUACAGGUUAUGUUUAUUGCCAUGUCAUCUCUCUGCGUGAACCCCAAGUUGAGUCGGCAAAGGUUCUUUUUUCUUUCUCCCACUUACGUGUGGGCCUACAUACUACUGAGGAAGGUUAGCUGACGAGGACAUUACAAACUUGCAAAGCCUUAAGCACCUUCAAGAUGUAAGUUUUUUUCAUUUGGCUUUUACUACUGCAAAACAG
Molecule: long non-coding RNA, 421 nt
Filed under: Setaria viridis
Lineage: Eukaryota; Viridiplantae; Streptophyta; Magnoliopsida; Poales; Poaceae
Description: long non-coding RNA (SVIR_LNC003372)
Source: RNAcentral